GCGCCUGUAGCUCAGCGGUCAGAGCACUUGCCUACGAAGCAAGGGGUCGCCUGUUCGAUCCAGGCCAGGCGCA
RNAcentral lists this transfer RNA (73 nucleotides) under Deltaproteobacteria bacterium. RNAcentral's name for it is "tRNA-Arg". It matches the Rfam family "tRNA". From Rfam's summary of the family: Transfer RNA (tRNA) molecules are approximately 80 nucleotides in length. The record is from RNAcentral. Lineage: Bacteria; Pseudomonadati; Myxococcota; Myxococcia.